This 613-nucleotide ribosomal RNA is filed under the name uncultured bodonid. Its description in RNAcentral is "bacterial SSU rRNA". It matches the Rfam family "Eukaryotic small subunit ribosomal RNA", at positions 104 to 658 of the family's 1831-position model. Lineage: Eukaryota; Euglenozoa; Kinetoplastea; Eubodonida; Bodonidae. The record is from RNAcentral.
CAUCAGACGUAAUCUGCCGCAAAAAUGUUGCGGAAACGCAUUAUUGGAUACCUUGUGCGAAACGCCAAGCUAAUACAUGAACUAAGGGGUUCAUCCCGUUCCACACGCACGCGGUUUCGGCCGUUGGCGUGGUGGGUGGCCCUGCGGAUGAAUGAAAGUACAAACCAAUGCCUCGCAAGGGGCAGUAUCACGGAGAAGUGCCGAAUCAAUUCAUCUUUGCGAAAGCCGGCUUGCCGGCGUAUUUUGACGAACAACUGCCCUAUCAGCCAUGAUGGCCGUGUAGUGGACUGCCAUGGCGUUGACGGGAGCGGGGGAUUAGGGUUCGAUUCCGGAGAGGGAGCCUGAGAAAUGGCUACCACUUCUACGGAGGGCAGCAGGCGCGCAAAUUGCCCAAUGCCAAAACAAAUGAUGAGGCAGCGAAAAGAAAUAGGUGCCCCAAACGCCUUGUGUGUUUGGGGCUUUCAAUGGGGGAUAUUUAACACCAUCCAACAUCGAGUAACAAUUGGAGGACAAGUCUGGUGCCAGCACCCGCGGUAAUUCCAGCUCCAAGAGCGUAUAUUAACGCUGUUGCUGUUAAAGGGUUCGUAGUUGAACUGUGGACCGCGACGCCGGG